AGCAGCAGUGGGGAAUAUUGCACAAUGGGCGCAAGCCUGAUGCAGCCAUGCCGCGUGUGUGAAGAAGGCCUUCGGGUUGUAAAGCACUUUCAGUUGUGAGGAAGGUGGUGUCGUUAAUAGACGGCAUCAUUUUGACGUUUAGCAACAGAAGAAGCACCGGCUAACUCCGUGCCAGCAGCCGCGGUAAUACGGAGGGUGCAAGCGUUAAUCGGAAUUACUGGGCGUAAAGCGCGCGUAGGUGGUUCGUUAAGUUGGAUGUGAAAUCCCCGGGCUCAACCUGGGAACUGCAUCCAAAACUGGCGAGCUAGAGUAUGGUAGAGGGUGGUGGGAAGUUUCCUGUGUAGCGGUGAAAUAGCGUAGAUAUAGGAAGGAACAACCAGUGGCGAAGGCGACCACCCUCGGACUGAUACUGACACUGAGGUGCGAAAGACGUGGGGAGGCAAACAGGAUUAGAUACCCUGGUAG
RNAcentral lists this ribosomal RNA (465 nucleotides) under uncultured bacterium. Its description in RNAcentral is "bacterial SSU rRNA". It matches the Rfam family "Bacterial small subunit ribosomal RNA", at positions 347 to 793 of the family's 1533-position model. The record is from RNAcentral.